GUCUAUGGCCAUGCUACCCUGAACAAGCCCGAUCCCAUCUGAUCUUGGAAGCUAAGCAGGGUCAGGCCUGGUUAGUACUUGGAUGGGAGACCACCUAGGAAGACCAAGUACUGUAGGCA
This 119-nucleotide ribosomal RNA is filed under the name Pteropus alecto (black flying fox). Lineage: Eukaryota; Metazoa; Chordata; Mammalia; Chiroptera; Pteropodidae. The record is from RNAcentral.